This 629-nucleotide unclassified non-coding RNA is filed under the name Hevea brasiliensis (rubber tree). Lineage: Eukaryota; Viridiplantae; Streptophyta; Magnoliopsida; Malpighiales; Euphorbiaceae. The record is from RNAcentral.
GCCUUUCUUGGCAACAUUAGUCCAAUCCUUAGCAGCUACACCAGUCCUCCAAUCAAAAUCCACAGUCAACGUAACUUCAGGCAUAUGAUCCGCCGCCCAGAAACACGCCAUGUAAUCCCCUUCCUCCGCCGCCGUAAACGCAAACUGCCCCAAUUCCACAUGAUCCGCGUAGUGAUAACUAUUCCCAUAACUGGAUGUCACCUUGACGGUGAGCUUGUGCGACUCCGGCAAGGGCUGGCCAUCGUGUGGAUUAACUAUGCUAUACUUGCCAACGGUCAUGGAAUUACUUUUGAUAUCCUCUGAAAUGCACUUAGUGUGCCCAGAUUGCAGAUCGAAGCGAACACAUUGUGAUGUAGACGAUAAAAUCCCGAGGAUUGUUAUUAUUACAAGAACAGAAACCUGUAAUCUAGCCAUUAUCGCAGUCCUUUUAGCAGAUGGGUUUUGGGUUUUGAUGAGAACUUAAAAGUGAAUCGCAGAGUGGCGAUCGCUUGGAUUCUCGCUUGGAUUCCGGGGACGGUGAGAAAAGGGGAACAAUACGUGGGUUAUGGCCAGGUGGUGUAAUUUCAUUGGAUCAGACACGUAAAUUUAGAAGCAUCUACUACUGUCAGCUCCUGUUGGUGUAGUGAUUU